RNAcentral lists this ribosomal RNA (424 nucleotides) under uncultured prokaryote. RNAcentral's name for it is "bacterial SSU rRNA". It matches the Rfam family "Bacterial small subunit ribosomal RNA", at positions 355 to 774 of the family's 1533-position model. The record is from RNAcentral.
UCUAGAGGCUUCGGCAAUGGGGGAAACCCUGACCGAGCGACGCCGCGUGAGGGAUGAAGCCCUUCGGGGUGUAAACCUCUUUCGACCGGAAAGAAAGCCUGGAUGGCGAAUCCAGGACUGACGGUACCGGGGGAAGAAGCCACGGCUAACUCCGUGCCAGCAGCCGCGGUAAUACGGAGGUGGCAAGCGUUCUUCGGAUUUAUUGGGCGUAAAGGGCGCGUAGGCGGCCAGGUGCGUCUGGUGUGAAAUUCCCAUCGCUUAACGAGGGAACUGCACUGGAUACGGCUUGGCUAGAGUCCGGGAGAGGUGAGUGGAAUUCCUGGUGUAGCGGUGGAAUGCGUAGAUAUCAGGAAGAACACCGGUGGCGAAGGCGGCUCACUGGCCCGGUACUGACGCUGAGGCGCGAAAGCGUGGGGAGCAAACG